This 335-nucleotide ribosomal RNA is filed under the name Paravaejovis schwenkmeyeri. Its description in RNAcentral is "partial 12S ribosomal RNA". The record is from RNAcentral. Lineage: Eukaryota; Metazoa; Arthropoda; Arachnida; Scorpiones; Vaejovidae.
UAAAAUUUAUAGAAUUAGGUAGUAAAGAAAUUUCUGAAACCUAAAGAAUUUGGCGGUAUUUUAAAUAAUUGGAGGAACCUGUUAUUUAAUUGAUAAUCCACAACAUAUCUUACCUAAAUUUUAUUUGUAUAUCGUCGUUUUGAUAAUAUUUAAAAAUUAUGAUCAAUAUUAAUAUAUUUUUUAAAUUCAGAUCAAGGUGCAGUAUGUUUAGGUUAUAAUGGGUUACAAUAUACUAAUAUAUAUAUAAUGAAUAUAAGUUUGAAAUUUAUAUUGAAAGUGGAUUCAAAAGUAAAAUUAAAUUAAAAAGUUUAUUUGAUUAAUAAUUUAAAAUAUGC